UGGGGAAUAUUGAACAAUGGGCGCAAGCCUGAUCCAGCAAUGCCGCGUGUGUGAAGAAGGCCUUCGGGUUGUAAAGCACUUUUAUCUGGAGCGAAAUCUGCAGGGCUAAUACCCAUGCAGUCUGACGGUACCAGCGGAAUAAGCACCGGCUAACUACGUGCCAGCAGCCGCGGUAAUACGUAGGGUGCGAGCGUUAAUCGGAAUUACUGGGCGUAAAGCGUGCGCAGGCGGUGAUGUAAGACAGAUGUGAAAUCCCCGGGCUCAACCUGGGAACUGCGUUUGUGACUGCAUCACUCGAGUACGGCAGAGGGAGGUGGAAUUCCGCGUGUAGCAGUGAAAUGCGUAGAGAUGCGGAGGAACACCAGUGGCGAAGGCGGCUACCUGGACCAGCACUGACACUGAGGCACGAAAGCGUGGGGAGCAAACA
RNAcentral lists this ribosomal RNA (427 nucleotides) under uncultured bacterium. RNAcentral's name for it is "bacterial SSU rRNA". It matches the Rfam family "Bacterial small subunit ribosomal RNA", at positions 355 to 774 of the family's 1533-position model. The record is from RNAcentral.